AGGGGACGUGGAUAACCUCGGGAAAUUGAGGAUAAACCGCGAUAGGUCACUACUUCUGGAAUGGGUAAUGACCCAAACCUACAUGGCCCCUGGAUUGGACUGCGGCCGAUCAGGCUGUUGGUGAGGUAAUGGCCCACCAAACCUGUAACCGGUACGGGCUCUGAGAGGAGGAGCCCGGAGAUGGGCACUGAGACAAGGGCCCAGGCCCUAUGGGGCGCAGCAGGCGCGAAACCUCUGCAAUAGGCGAAAGCUUGACAGGGUUACUCUGAGUGAUUUCCGUUAAGGAGAUCUUUUGGCACCUCUAAAAGUGGUGCAGAAUAAGGGGUGGGCAAGUCUGGUGUCAGCCGCCGCGGUAAUACCAGCACCCCGAGUGGUCGGGACGUUUAUUGGGCCUAAAGCAUCCGUAGCCGGUUCUACAAGUCUUCCGUUAAAUCCACCUGCUUAACAGAUGGGCUGCGGAAGAUACUAUGGAGCUAGGAGGCGGGAGAGGCAAGCGGUACUCGAUGGGUAGGGGUAAAAUCCGUUGAUCCAUUGAAGACCACCAGUGGCGAAGGCGGCUUGCCAGAACGCGCUCGACGGUGAGGGAUGAAAGCUGGGGGAGCAAACCGGAUUAGAUACCCGGGUAGUCCCAGCUGUAAACGAUGCAGACUCGGUGAUGAGUUGGCUUCAUGCCAACUCAGUGCCGCA
This 687-nucleotide ribosomal RNA is filed under the name uncultured archaeon. Its description in RNAcentral is "bacterial SSU rRNA". It matches the Rfam family "Archaeal small subunit ribosomal RNA", at positions 115 to 805 of the family's 1478-position model. The record is from RNAcentral.